UCUUGUGCAAGCAGCUAGUUUCUUUUUCAAGUUUUCAGUCUCCUGCUCCAACCCAGCUAUCCUAUGAAGAGGCACAUGAGUAGGCAGCCCAAUAUAGCUAGGUCCACUUUGUUGCAUGCAUAGCUGUUCAAUAUCUUUAUGCAAUUCAUCACGCUCGCGUUCCAACUCUUUGAUCCGAGCACGCAAAGAUGCAUUAUCGUUCAAAUUUCCAUCCAUGGCUUGAAGGCUCCAAUUCGAAUGAGAACCCUAGAAACCCAACAACUGAUUCUUAAUUUUUUUUCCCUCUUUUCUUGCCGGAGACGGUAGUCGG
Molecule: unclassified non-coding RNA, 310 nt
Filed under: Hevea brasiliensis (rubber tree)
Lineage: Eukaryota; Viridiplantae; Streptophyta; Magnoliopsida; Malpighiales; Euphorbiaceae
Source: RNAcentral